RNAcentral lists this ribosomal RNA (274 nucleotides) under uncultured bacterium. RNAcentral's name for it is "partial 16S ribosomal RNA". It matches the Rfam family "Bacterial small subunit ribosomal RNA", at positions 523 to 796 of the family's 1533-position model. The record is from RNAcentral.
AUACGGAGGGUGCAAGCGUUGUUCGGAAUUAUAGGGCGUAAAGCGCGUGUAGGCGGUCUGUUAAGUCUGGUGUGAAAGCCCUGGGCUCAACCCAGGAAGUGCAUUGGAUACUGGCAGACUUGAGUAUGGGAGAGGAAGGCGGAAUUCCGAGUGUAGGAGUGAAAUCCGUAGAUAUUCGGAGGAACACCAGUGGCGAAGGCGGCUUUCUGGACCAAUACUGACGCUGAGACGCGAAAGCGUGGGGAGCAAACAGGAUUAGAAACCCUAGUAGUCC